UCAUUAAUCUGCUUCUGCUGACUUCUCUCCUUCAUUACUGCAGUAAAAUAUUUGGUGUUGGAGUCCCCCAGUUGUAUCCACUUUGCUCUUGCCUUCUGUUGCAGGACACUCUCCUCAAUCAAAGACCAUUUUUCCAGUUGCAAUAUCAGUUCCUUCUCCUUCUGUUGUAGUGCAUCAUUGUAGGCUUGAGUCAAUUGCUUUUGUAUGAUUCCCA
This 214-nucleotide long non-coding RNA is filed under the name Nicotiana benthamiana. RNAcentral describes it as "long non-coding RNA (NBEN_LNC023959)". Lineage: Eukaryota; Viridiplantae; Streptophyta; Magnoliopsida; Solanales; Solanaceae. The record is from RNAcentral.